CCAUUUCCCAGCACUUUAAUGAGUGCGUGGUGGUGGGGGGGGGGAAACAGAGAGGAUACAGGGUGUGUGUAUGGGGGAAGGGGGGUCAGAAGAGUUCCUCAGCGUUGGGGACGCGGGCGUCCCGCAGCUCCCGCAGCCGCUGCAGCACCCGGUGCACACUGUGCUCCCCCAGCUGCCGGUUGUCCCGCGUGCGGAUGCUGACGGUGCCGUUUUCCUGCUCCCUGCGGCCGACCACCAGCUGGAAGUUGUAGUGGGUGAGCUGUGCCCGGCGGAUCUUCCUGCCCAGUGUGGCACCCGCAUCGGCAUCC
This 308-nucleotide long non-coding RNA is filed under the name Gallus gallus (chicken). The record is from RNAcentral. Lineage: Eukaryota; Metazoa; Chordata; Aves; Galliformes; Phasianidae.